GAUGAACGCUGGCGGCGUGCUUAACACAUGCAAGUCGAACGAAGCAUUUAUAAUGAAGUUUUCGGAUGGAUUUAUAGAUGACUUAGUGGCGGACGGGUGAGUAACGCGUGGGUAACCUGCCUCAUACAGGGGGGAUAACAGUUGGAAACGACUGCUAACACCGCAUAAGCCUACAGUCUCGCAUGAGACAGUAGGAAAAUAUUUAUAGGUAUGAGAUGGACCCCGCGUCUGAUUAGCUAGUUGGUGAGGUAACGGCCCACCAAGGCGACGAUCAGUAGCCGACUUGAGAGAGUGAUCGGCCACAUUGGGACUGAGACACGGCCCCAAACUCCUACGGGAGGCAG
RNAcentral lists this ribosomal RNA (344 nucleotides) under uncultured Bacillota bacterium. RNAcentral's name for it is "bacterial SSU rRNA". It matches the Rfam family "Bacterial small subunit ribosomal RNA", at positions 28 to 351 of the family's 1533-position model. Lineage: Bacteria; Bacillati; Bacillota. The record is from RNAcentral.